Molecule: long non-coding RNA, 2972 nt
Organism: Mirounga angustirostris (Northern elephant seal)
Lineage: Eukaryota; Metazoa; Chordata; Mammalia; Carnivora; Phocidae
Exons: 9
Source: RefSeq, a predicted model, not a curated record
ACUCAUUGCCAGAAGUCCAAAGUGAGAAAAAUCAGUUCCAGCACUCUGGAGCACAUCCAGUUAGUGCUUAGUAAUAAGGAAAACCAACAUUAUAUUCACUGCUGCCAAAGUCAUCACAAACAUGCUUUCAACGACUACAAGAGCAGAAAGGAAAAGGCCUGGGACCGGGACGGCCAUGCCUCUUACUCACCAGGUAGCCUCGGUGGGACUUCGUUUCCCCCUCUGCAAAAUGAAGAGGCCAGCUCACAUGGGUGGAUGACGUAUCAGGGUAUUUUUGGUUCUAGGUAACAGAAAAGUACUGGCUUAAAUUAUAAAGGGGACUUACUGGCUCAUGUCAUUGAAGAGCCCAAGAAGAUCUGAAGAGCUUCGGGGCUAGCUCGAACACCUUAACUGGGAACUAAUUUCCCCCCUCACCAUUUCUUGGCUCUGCUUCCUUGGUGAGACCUCGGCCAACUCUCUGAUGGUAAAAGGGCUUCCAGCUGUUCCCCGGGGCUGCAAGCCCUCACUCAGGGACAGUGCAAAGGGAAGAUCUUUGUGCCAAAGGACGUCAGCAGCAGAAGUCCCGAGACGUACUCUGACCACAGCUUCUGAGGUCACAUGCCCCUCCCUGAACCAAUCACUGCCACAGGGGAUGGAAUGUGCUGAUUGGCCAGGCCUAGGUCAUGUGGCACUAGGUCCAUUCCCACGGCUGAGGGUGGAUUCAGCCUCCGGACCGCUGCAUGGGUUCCCACGUGGAACUGGAACAGUGGGAAAGCAGGAAGGAGAGAAAGAAAGGUGCACAGUCAAGCAACACACUUUCGUGACCAGUGAAGGUCAAACAUUUUGGGGGUGAACAGAACCCCAAUAUACAACAUAUACACAAAUGGAGCUUCACUCGGUGACGCGGGAGUGGGGAUUUAAAGCCCUGUCUUCUGUUGCUCCUAAGAGCCCUGCUUAGAAACCUAGUGCUCCAGGAAACAGAUAAAAGUAAUGUCUUUGGGUCCGUUCAGCUCUGUUCCUUGCUACUGCUUAAUAAGCAAAUAUCUACUAGGAUAACAUGUCAACCGUCUUCAGGCGCUUCUGCAGGCCUUGUGCUAUUUGUUCUGUGCACAGCUCUGUGAACUAGGUAGGACAUUAAUCUUUAUUAAGAAUAUGCUUUAUAGUUACAGGCUUCUCAACGUAAAGAUGGAUCAGCACCCAGCUAUCAUUUUUCAAGCUUACCAGACCUUGCAACCAUCUACCCCAGUUUCUGAUAAAGACCAGGCCAAUGAAGCCACACAUCACCACAAAUAGCUAAGAAAUCUGACUAUACAUGGAGCCAGGGGGAAAGGGCAUGAAAGCAAUAGGGAGACAAAGGCUUUCUUCAAAUGAACAGUGAUGAGAAAUUUCGUUUCCUGAAAGACCCAGGGAAUUAACAAAAUACUGUAUUCACUUUGAAAGUCAUGUGGAAAACAUUUUACGUUUUGAAAAAGUGGAAGUUUCUCUUAAUUUUAUUUUUAGAGAGAGAGAGAGAUUGAGAGCAGGGGAGGAGUAGAGGCGGAGAGACAGAGAGAAUCUCAAGCCAACUCCACGCUGAGCCUGGAGCCCGACGAGGGGCUUGAUCUCACCGCAUGAGAUCAUGACCUGAGCUGAAACCAAGAGUCAGAGGCUCAACAGACUGAGCCACCCAGGAGCCCCUCCUAUCUUAACUAUUUUUAAAUGUACAGCUCAGUGACAUUAAAUGCAUUCACACUGUGUUGCAAUCCUCACCACUGUUCAUCUUCAGAACUCUUCUCAUCUUGCAAAAUGAAACUUCAUACCCAUACCCGCCCCCACAGCCCCUUGGUUUCCAACUGAAGAUACAGGCUUCCAGCGAAGAUACAAGAUUGUGGAGUACAGUGAAUGAGCGGCUCCUCCCCCACCCUGUCCUGUUCCAUCCUUCCUCCCUCUUCCCAGGGGCAUCUCUUUCUCACCUGUCAUAUGUUGCCAACAUCCUAUUGUGUUAUCACAUCUCAGUUCAGAUAACCACAUUUCCAGGGCUCAACAGCCACCUAUGUCCAGUGGCUACCGUGCUGGAAAGCGCAACCCUGAGGAUUAAGAGCAGAAUAUCCAAGAUGUGCUGGGAGGCAUCUUCUCUCCUUUCUAAGCGACGCCAGAAUCACCAAGGAAGUGAACGUCUCAAGCCACAGAGGAGUAUAUAAAUCGUCCUGCCUUUGGUUUCACCUUGUCGGAACACACCGACAGACAGCAGAACCGCCAGCUACAUUUUGUUAGGAGAGAUGGUGCCAGCGGAUCACGGCGGUGGAUCCACUUGACUGCUCCAGGAAACAACACCCUGCUCUUUCAGGACACUUACCGGUGGGACAGAGACGCUAUUCAGAGUAAAAACUUCUGAGUAAUGGAGUGGGGGAAUGGAAGCACCUCGCCUGGGAGUUCUCCUCUUUCUAGUAGGAGUUUGAAAGAAGGCUCUGUUCAGCACCAAUGGCAAGAGGACAUUCGCUGACCUUUGGCAAUAGGCACCUGACCAGAAACAGAAUAUUAACUCUACACUCUAACUUGGAUGCACAGAGAAAAUAUCCUUUAUUUUUCUUAUAUCUAAAAUGGCCUUUCCUGCUUCAAACCCACAGCCAACUGGCUAGCAAAGAGAAAAGACAUCGGAAACUCCUCUGAUGAGACUCCCAUUUGGCUUUGGCUUGAGUGUUUCCCUCAGUAGCCUAAGUACCAGGAUCCCUCAUCCUUGCCAUGGUGAUCCUUCUAGAAAACUCCUCCACUGGACUCCCAGGUAUUUCUGAAACCUGUCUAUACCACACUGGGGACAAAGAUGACUUGGGAAAGUUGAGCCACAGGGCCUGCCUCUCCCUGACUCUGCUGGGCCAUCGGGUGAGAGUUCGGUCCGCCGGCUCAGUGUAUACAGCCUGGGAUUUAGCCUCCUCCUCCCACUUCAAUAGGUUGCAGAAAAGAGCCUCCAGUCUUCUUGGCUCUCCUAGACUUAUCUAAUACAUGGCUCUCCUAAG